AAUUCCCUCCCUUAGUCGUAUCAAAACAAAAAACUUCCCUCCUAAGUUGAAAAAAAUUAGGUCAUUCUCCCUCCCUUUCACUCUCACCAUCUCACCAGCCUAUCGAGAGUGAAAUCGAUACACUCUCGCUCUCACUCUCACUCUUAGUCCCAAUCUCUCUCGCUCUCGCUCUCACCUCUCACUUUCGCUCUCACUCUCUCUCUCUCUCUCCGCCGGUCCAGCUCAAAGUCGCUACUUGGUCCGGUAGUUUACUCUCUCCGCCGCCUCAGCUCGAAGUCGAUUUCAAUUAUCUUGAGAAGCCAUCGCCGCCACCAAGAUCUCUCUCACUAUCGCCGCCGGUCUCGGGAUCUCUCUCACUAUCGCUGCCGGUGUCAGUGUCAAGAAAUAUAAAGAGCCUCCUUCUUCUAUUGGAGAUGCCUCCAAUAGGGUUCGUUCUCUUCUCUCUCUCUUUCUGUUUAUGCCCUGGGGCUAUUGUUGGUUACUUUAAUCAGCGAUUGAUAAGCUUCCUUCUGUGUUUGUAUUACUGUUGGGGCUUAAAUGGUUCUGGGCUUAAUUCUAGGUCAUUCAAUGACCAGUGGGAUUUCUUGUUUAGGCGUUUUAGCUUUAGAUUGGUAUAUUCUGUGCUAAAGCUGUUGGUUUAUUUGCAAACAAACAAAUAGAUUAAUAAAAGGGGCGAUACAGUGGAUGAGAAGAUCAAGAAGCUUGAUGUUGAACUUAAUAGAUACAGAGAGCAUGUCAAGAAGACAAGGAGCUUUCAGCAAAAGUUGCCAAGAUUGUGGGAGCGACUCCCAUUGUUACAGAAGAUCACACUCAGCCAUCAAAAUCAGCAGCAGCAAACACUUGAUAUGAUAUGCUAGAGUUUAUAUAUGAUUACCACUACAUGAAAUUGUUGUGGCUUUGAAACCCCCAGGCCUGAGUUUUCAGGGAGGAUACCCGAGAAAGAGAAAGCUAUAUUAGGCUUAUCGUGGACAUGUUGAAAAUUGUUGAAGGGAUGAAGUCAUUCAGUCUCCGAUCAAUAUGCAAACACUUGAGAUGCUGGAGAAGGAGGAGAAGCUCCUUGGCAGCGUUGUAAUAAAGAAACACUACUGUUUCUAUGAGUCGCAUUUGUAAUUGAUUGGGGGUUCUUCAAAAUUGAAUCCUAAAGACGGUCUAGAGACGAAGGGGGAGACUCUUGGUGGAUUGGGUACUGCUGGUAGAAACAUUCACAAUCAGGAAGAAUUUCCAGGUCGUACAAUGGCAAUUAUUUUAAGUGUUUCUGCAAAUUUAACUCUCGAUUUCUCAAAUUUCUUUGUUUUGUUUUUGAGCUAGAAUCGAAGGAGAAGGGCAAUAAUGAGCUAGGGGAAUCCUUUUUUUCUUGUCUGUUUCAUUUUACAUCAAUUAUUACUUGAGGUAAAGAAGUAUUCAAUUUGCCAAAACUUCAGUAUCUGUAACUGUACUCAUCAAGUUUUGCAAAUUUCGGGAC
Molecule: long non-coding RNA, 1462 nt
Organism: Rosa chinensis
Lineage: Eukaryota; Viridiplantae; Streptophyta; Magnoliopsida; Rosales; Rosaceae
Exons: 6
Source: RefSeq, a predicted model, not a curated record